CAGAUUAUCGACUUGUAAAGUAGGCGACGUCGGUUCGGUGAGCUAAAACAAACAAACAGUUUGCAACUGAACCAAAUCCUGCAGAUGCUGAUAAAAUCCCGAAGAGCGCAACCCGUUUGGAGCUGCCAAAAUUAAAUUCCUCUCCGUCACUGGUCGGGGUUGGUUUUCCAUAUUUCCUUCCCGAUUAGAAGCAGACACAGAGAGAAAAAGAGGGGUAAAUCGCUUUUGUUGUGUGCUAACGUAGAAAUAUAGCAAACUAUUUAUCUUUGGAAUGAAAAGUUCCAAUCAUGGCAUCACAAUCAGUUGAAGAUGUUUUCCUCGCUACUGAAUGGAAUAUCAUGGAGGGCAGAUGAAAGUAGUCUGAUAACUGAAGCUUGUUCAAAAUAUAAUUCAGUAUUAAAUUCUAUAUAUAGUAGCUGCCAACAAAUAAAGACAAACAAUCAGAUCCUAUAGUAUUUCAGUUUGUUUAGCGUCUUCGGUUGGGACACACCGUAUCCUGUUUACCCGGCGGCGCUCGUAAAUCAAUUGUGCCACAGUUUACUAACCCGACCUGGCCGGAUGGUGUGUGCGGUUGGUUUCUGAUUCCCACCGAGACUAGCAGCACCGGCGACCAAUGCGAAACCGACGAAGAACCAUAGUCUAGUCAUCAUCAUCAUCAUCUGUUGAGGCGAGGUCACUUCUCGACGAUGCGAAAACUACUCACACACAGACCCACGGUCGAGACCAGCCAAGCGAAGCUCCGUUGGUCUGCGAAUCGAAACAAAAAAAAAGUGCACAGUCGAUGAAGAUAUCAUGACUCACCUCACCUCCAGAUAGUAGAUGUGGAAGCAAGUUCAAGCACUGCCGUAUUG
Long non-coding RNA from Malaya genurostris, 851 nucleotides. RefSeq lists it as uncharacterized. The transcript has 3 exons. The record is from RefSeq and is a predicted model, not a curated record. Lineage: Eukaryota; Metazoa; Arthropoda; Insecta; Diptera; Culicidae.